RNAcentral lists this long non-coding RNA (258 nucleotides) under Sorghum bicolor (sorghum). RNAcentral describes it as "long non-coding RNA (SBIC_LNC002573)". The record is from RNAcentral. Lineage: Eukaryota; Viridiplantae; Streptophyta; Magnoliopsida; Poales; Poaceae.
CCAGCGCACAGAUUAAUACCGAUGUAGCAUUUUAACCGGGAAGUAUUCCAGGUAUCGUUAUUUAUAUUUUUACCACUGGGAAGGGAUUAACAAUCAUCAAUAUUGAUUACAGAAUAGAAUAUGAGAUUGAGCAUCUAUCAUUGCAUGUAUAAUUGAGAACAUUAUAUCUAACUCUUCAUACAGGGAUAAGUGUCACAUAAAAGAUAUAUGAAAUAACGAAUAGUGACAAGGAUAACUAGUCUGAUCUAGCCACAUAAU